RNAcentral lists this ribosomal RNA (496 nucleotides) under uncultured bacterium. Its description in RNAcentral is "partial 16S ribosomal RNA". It matches the Rfam family "Bacterial small subunit ribosomal RNA", at positions 28 to 506 of the family's 1533-position model. The record is from RNAcentral.
GAUGAACGCUGGCGGCGUGCCUAAUACAUGCAAGUCGAGCGAACAGACGAGGAGCUUGCUCCUCUGACGUUAGCGGCGGACGGGUGAGUAACACGUGGAUAACCUACCUAUAAGACUGGGAUAACUUCGGGAAACCGGAGCUAAUACCGGAUAAUAUAUUGAACCGCAUGGUUCAAUAGUGAAAGACGGUUUUGCUGUCACUUAUAGAUGGAUCCGCGCCGCAUUAGCUAGUUGGUAAGGUAACGGCUUACCAAGGCAACGAUGCGUAGCCGACCUGAGAGGGUGAUCGGCCACACUGGAACUGAGACACGGUCCAGACUCCUACGGGAGGCAGCAGUAGGGAAUCUUCCGCAAUGGGCGAAAGCCUGACGGAGCAACGCCGCGUGAGUGAUGAAGGUCUUCGGAUCGUAAAACGCUGUUAUUAGGGAAGAACAAAUGUGUAAGUAACUAUGCACGUCUUGACGGUACCUAAACAGAAAGCCACGGCUAACUACGU